CCUACGGGUGGCUGCAGUGGGGAAUUUUGCGCAAUGCUCGUAAGAGUGACGCAGCGACGCCGCGUGAAUGACGAAGGCCUUCGGGUCGUAAAGUUCUUUCGACAGGGAAGAAAAUGCCUAUAAGUAACUGUGUAUGUCUUGACGGUACCUGUAUAAGCAGCCCCGGCUAACUGCGUGCCAGCAGCGGCGGUCAGACGGAGGGGGCGAGCGUUGUUCGGGGGCACUGGGAGGAAAGAGCACGUAGGCGGUGUUGUAAGUCAUUAGUCAAAGACUAGAGCUCAACUUUAGUAAGGCUAGUGAUACUAUACUACUAGAGUAUAAGAGAGGAUUGCAGAAUUCCUGGUGUAGCGGUGAAAUGCGUAGAUAUCAGGAGGAAUACCGUUAGCGAAGGCGGCAAUCUGGCUGGAAACUGACGCUGAGGUGCGAAAGCGUGGGUAGCAAACAGGAUUAGAUACCCCGGUAGUC
Molecule: ribosomal RNA, 465 nt
Filed under: uncultured bacterium
Lineage: Bacteria
Description: partial 16S ribosomal RNA
Rfam family: Bacterial small subunit ribosomal RNA
Source: RNAcentral